UUUCCGUAGGUGAACCUGCGGAAGGAUCAUUAACGAGUGCGGGUCUCCUCGCGAGCCCAACCUCCCAACCCUUUGUUUACCGAACCUUUGUUGCUUCGGCGGACCCGCUUCACGGCCGCCGGGGGACCUUCCGUCCCCUGGCCCGCGUCCGCCGGUGGCCCCAACAUUUAAUCCUGAAAAUCGUGUCUUCCAGACCUGAGUCGAGAUAUUAAAUCAAAAUAAAAACUUUCAACAACGGAUCUCUGGGUUCUGGCAUCGAUGAAGAACGCAGC
RNAcentral lists this unclassified non-coding RNA (272 nucleotides) under uncultured fungus. Its description in RNAcentral is "sequence contains ITS1, 5.8S rRNA gene". The stretch from base 224 to 272 matches the Rfam family "5.8S ribosomal RNA", at positions 1 to 49 of the family's 154-position model. The record is from RNAcentral. Lineage: Eukaryota; Fungi.